Molecule: ribosomal RNA, 1351 nt
Filed under: human vaginal metagenome
Description: bacterial SSU rRNA
Rfam family: Bacterial small subunit ribosomal RNA
Source: RNAcentral
AUUCUGGCUCAGGAUGAACGCUGGCGGCGUGCUUAACACAUGCAAGUCGAACGGGAUCCAGGCAGCUUGCUGUCUGGUGAGAGUGGCGAACGGGUGAGUAAUGCGUGACCAACCUGCCCCAUGCUCCGGAAUAGCUCCUGGAAACGGGUGGUAAUGCCGGAUGCUCCGCGCUCCCGCAUGGGAGGGUGGGAAAGUUUUCAAUGGCAUGGGAUGGGGUCGCGUCCUAUCAGCUUGACGGUGGGGUGAUGGCCUACCGUGGCUUCGACGGGUAGCCGGCCUGAGAGGGCGACCGGCCACAUUGGGACUGAGAAUAAGCACCGGCUAACUACGUGCCAGCAGCCGCGGUAAUACGUAGGGUGCAAGCGUUAUCCGGAAUUAUUGGGCGUAAAGGGCUCGUAGGCGGUUCGUCGCGUCCGGUGUGAAAGUCCAUCGCUUAACGGUGGAUCUGCGCCGGGUACGGGCGGGCUGGAGUGCGGCAGGGGAGACUGGAAUUCCCGGUGUAACGGUGGAAUGUGUAGAUAUCGGGAAGAACACCAAUGGCGAAGGCAGGUCUCUGGGCCGUCACUGACGCUGAGGAGCGAAAGCGUGGGGAGCGAACAGGAUUAGAUACCCUGGUAGUCCACGCCGUAAACGGUGGACGCUGGAUGUGGGGCCCUUUCCACGGGUUCCGUGUCGGAGCUAACGCGUUAAGCGUCCCGCCUGGGGAGUACGGCCGCAAGGCUAAAACUCAAAGAAAUUGACGGGGGCCCGCACAAGCGGCGGAGCAUGCGGAUUAAUUCGAUGCAACGCGAAGAACCUUACCUGGGCUUGACAUGUGGAGGAUCGCCGCGGAGACGCGGUUUCCCUUCGGGGCCUCUUCACAGGUGGUGCAUGGUCGUCGUCAGCUCGUGUCGUGAGAUGUUGGGUUAAGUCCCGCAACGAGCGCAACCCUCGCCCCGUGUUGCCAGCACAUGAUGGUGGGAACUCACGGGGGACCGCCGGGGUCAACCCGGAGGAAGGCGGGGAUGACGUCAGAUCAUCAUGCCCCUUACGUCCAGGGCUUCACGCAUGCUACAAUGGCCGGUACAGCGGGAUGCGACAUGGUGACAUGGAGCGGAUCCCUGAAAACCGGUCUCAGUUCGGAUCGGAGCCUGCAACCCGGCUCCGUGAAGGCGGAGUCGCUAGUAAUCGCGGAUCAGCAACGCCGCGGUGAAUGCGUUCCCGGGCCUUGUACACACCGCCCGUCAAGUCAUGAAAGUGGGCAGCACCCGAAGCCGGUGGCCUAACCCGUUCGCGGGGUGGAGCCGUCUAAGGUGAGGCUCGUGAUUGGGACUAAGUCGUAACAAGGUAGCCGUACCGGAAGGUGCGGCUG